Molecule: ribosomal RNA, 490 nt
Filed under: uncultured bacterium
Lineage: Bacteria
Description: partial 16S ribosomal RNA
Rfam family: Bacterial small subunit ribosomal RNA
Source: RNAcentral
AGUGAACGCUGGCGGUAGGCCUAACACAUGCAAGUCGAACGGCAGCACAGUAAGAGCUUGCUCUUACGGGUGGCGAGUGGCGGACGGGUGAGGAAUACAUCGGAAUCUACUUUUUCGUGGGGGAUAACGUAGGGAAACUUACGCUAAUACCGCAUACGACCUACAGGUGAAAGCAGGGGAUCUUCGGACCUUGCGCGAUUGAAUGAGCCGAUGUCGGAUUAGCUAGUUGGCGGGGUAAAGGCCCACCAAGGGGACGAUCCGUAGCUGGUCUGAGAGGAUGAUCAGCCACACUGGAACUGAGACACGAUCCAGACUCCUACGGGAGGCAGCAGUGGGGAAUAUUGGACAAUGGGCGCAAGCCUGAUCCAGCCAUACCGCGUGGGUGAAGAAGGCCUUCGGGUUGUAAAGCCCUUUUGUUGGGAAAGAAAAGCAGCAGGUUAAUACCCCGCUGUUCUGACGGUACCCAAAGAAUAAGCACCGGCUAACUUCG